UGAUCUCUUUAUAGUGUAUAAAUUUCAUGGUCUUAUAAUAAUGACUAAGUAGUUUUAUCUUUAAAAAAAAAAAAAACCUUCAAAGAAUUAUAGAAUCGUUAUCAAAUAUCUCUUAAAUAUAACAGUGUGUUAUGUUUGUCCUUCCAACCAACAUAAGAAGUAUGUUAUAUCAUAAAGUUAACAUUCAUAUGAAUAUUACUUAUUUAUCUAUUAAUAACUUUGUUCUUUAAAUAAACUAUAAAAAUAUCGUAAACUUUAGAGUUUUACCUAUAUUUUUAUCACUUUGCAUCUAAACAAUAGCAAAUGACUUGAUGUCUUUAUUGUGUAUAAAUUCAAUUGUCUUGUAAUAUUGACUAAAUAGUUUUUUCGUUUUUAAAAACCCUUCGUAAUAUUAUAGAAUGAUUAUUAAAUGUCUCUUGAGUAUAUCAGUGUGUUAUGUUUGUCCCUCCAGCCCACAUAAGAAGUAUGUCAUAUGGUAAACUUAACAGUCAUAUGACUAUUAUUUAUUUAUCUUUUAAUAACUUUGUCCUUCAAGUAAACUCUAAAAAUAUCGUAAACUUUAGAGUUUUAUCCAUACAUUUCUCUCUUUGCAUCUAAACAAUAGCAUAUGAUUUGAUCUCUUUAUAGUGUAUAAAUUCAUGGUCUUAUAAUAUUGACUAAAUUGUUUUAUCUUUCCUUAAAAACCUUUCAUAAAAUUAUAGAAUCAUUAUCAAAUGUCUCUUAAAUGUAUCAAUGUGUUAUAUAAACUAAAUAUAGUGAACAACUAGAUAUAUUUCUUUUUAGAAUCAUUAUCAAAUUCCAUGGUCUUAUAAUAUUGACUAAAUAUAUUUCUUAAUGUGUGUGAAAUGCUCAAAACAUCAUACAAUUUAGGAUGGAGAGAGUAUUUAUCAAUAUAAACGGAAAGACAAACACAUUAAUGUUCGUUCUGACCCUAGUGUUUAUUUUAAAUUGGCAACAUGGGUAUGGAAUACUUAUGUAGUAAACAACUAGAUCGUCGACAUGUGCGACACAUGGGUCUUAUGUUUUAUUAUAUAUCAUUAUAAAUUUUAAGAUAUACACAAGUGAAUGAGUGUUUAGAGAAACGAAUUGAAUCAUUAAUCAAUAAAAAAAACAGUCCCAAACAAAUGCCGAAUUGAAUCAUUGUAAAUUUUUUAUUAUCUUUUUCAACUCUUUACUUUAUA
RNAcentral lists this long non-coding RNA (1181 nucleotides) under Medicago truncatula (barrel medic). RNAcentral describes it as "long non-coding RNA (MTRU_LNC006759)". Lineage: Eukaryota; Viridiplantae; Streptophyta; Magnoliopsida; Fabales; Fabaceae. The record is from RNAcentral.